Molecule: unclassified non-coding RNA, 281 nt
Filed under: Hevea brasiliensis (rubber tree)
Lineage: Eukaryota; Viridiplantae; Streptophyta; Magnoliopsida; Malpighiales; Euphorbiaceae
Source: RNAcentral
GCUAUAUUAGUUGCUAGGACAACUUUCCUUGCUCCAGUGGGUGUGGGUUCAAAUAUCUUAGCCUGUAGCUCUGUUGGUAAGUUAGCAUAUAUGGGGCAGAUAAUGAGUUCCGCAAUUUUGGUGCCUAGUCCCCGAGUUCUAUGUUUCAUUAUUUCCUCGGCUGCUUCAAUCUCUUCUUGACCAGUGAGAAACACCAAUAUAUCUCCUGGAGGCUUUGUGACAUGGAUCUGAAGUGCAGUCACGAUUGCUGCAUCUAAAUAGUCUGCUUCUGGAGCUUUUGU